This 998-nucleotide long non-coding RNA is filed under the name Olea europaea (common olive). RNAcentral's name for it is "long non-coding RNA (OEUR_LNC012529)". Lineage: Eukaryota; Viridiplantae; Streptophyta; Magnoliopsida; Lamiales; Oleaceae. The record is from RNAcentral.
UGGACUUUAGACACAGACAUCAUAGGACUAGGGAGAAGAUGAGUCCAUUACCACGCGAACAAGUUUUAACAGUUUGGUUUCUCCACAGUACAAAAUUGGUCAAGAACCGUAGAUCAGAAAUCCUAAGGCCACAGUCCAUCUUCAGUUAUCUUGUUUUGAUAUAAACGGAGAGAUACAGAAGCAAGACGAAAAUGAGAGAAAACGGAGAGAGCCUUGUUUUCCUUUCAUAUCCAAAUCCACUAUAGCCGCUAAGCGUACAAGGAGAGGUCGAGAUACAGGAAUUUUGAUAUAGAUAAAAGAAUUCUUCACUCAAAAAAUCCAGUCUUUGUUCUAACUUAUCAUCUGUGACAAAAUUUUCAUUUUUCCCGAAAAUUCCUUUCUCUAGAAGAAACGCUCUCAUCGCAAGGUAAGUUGUGGUCCUUACCGUGAAAAUUCUUUGUUUUUUUCUUUGGUUGUCGGUAUUCAAUUGGUAAUUCCUUCAUCCUCUUGAUUUACGGGGUACUUGAUGAUAGACUUGCUCUACAAUUCUUUGUACCAAGAAUAGAUCUUGCGGUAAUUCUACUGAUCUGGUGUUAUUGUUGAAGAAAAUUGAAACUGGAGUCACAAUUUUGCGUUCUUCUUUUUGAUAGUUUGUUUAUUAUUCAGAAGAUAUGGAGAAGGAAGAGAAGUGUAACCAGAGAAUGUUGAAGCCGCCGGCAGAAACAGAAUUUUUCUUGCAGUGGGGUAACAGAAAGAGGCUAAGAUGUGUUAGAGUCAGAGGGACAAACCUAGCAACACAAGCCUCUUCCGACCACCCUUCUUCAUCCAGAAUUAGUCACAAAAUAUCCUCUAAGUUUCUCAAGCUUUCCAACAAAUCUGCCGUCUUUCCUCAAUCCACCAGUCGUUUCACAAGGUAAUUAUGAUUUUCAUUUUCAUUUUUUCCCCCACUAGAACACAGGGUGGAAUUUUAGGUGGGCUGGUGUUGUUGCAGGAAUUGUGAAACGGCAGCUUGGGAGAAC